GACGAACGCUGGCGGCGUGCCUAAUACAUGCAAGUAGAACGCUGAAGGAGGAGCUUGCUUCUCUGGAUGAGUUGCGAACGGGUGAGUAACGCGUAGGUAACCUGCCUGUUAGCGGGGGAUAACUAUUGGAAACGAUAGCUAAUACCGCAUAAGAGUAUAUGUUGCAUGACAUUUGCUUAAAAGGUGCAAUUUCAUCACUACUAGAUGGACCUGCGUUGGAUUAGCUAGUUGGUGGGGUAACGGCUUACCAAGGCGACGAUACAUAGUCGACCUGAGAGGGGGAUCGGCCAAACUGGGACUGAGACACGGCCCAGACUCCGACGGGAGGGAGCAGUAGGGAAUCUUCGGCAAUGGACGGAAGGCUGACCGAGCAACGCCGCGUGAGGGAAGAAGGGUGUCGGAUCGGAAAGAUCUGUUGUAAGAGAAGAAAGAGAGGGAGAGUGGAAAGUGCACACUGUGACGGUAUCUAACCAGAAAGGGACGGCUAACUACGUG
RNAcentral lists this ribosomal RNA (495 nucleotides) under uncultured bacterium. Its description in RNAcentral is "partial 16S ribosomal RNA". It matches the Rfam family "Bacterial small subunit ribosomal RNA", at positions 28 to 507 of the family's 1533-position model. The record is from RNAcentral.